Molecule: ribosomal RNA, 423 nt
Filed under: Brucella anthropi
Lineage: Bacteria; Pseudomonadati; Pseudomonadota; Alphaproteobacteria; Hyphomicrobiales; Brucellaceae
Description: bacterial SSU rRNA
Rfam family: Bacterial small subunit ribosomal RNA
Source: RNAcentral
CGAACGCUGGCGGCAGGCUUAACACAUGCAAGUCGAGCGCCCCGCAAGGGGAGCGGCAGACGGGUGAGUAACGCGUGGGAACGUACCUUUUGCUACGGAAUAACUCAGGGGAACUUGUGCUAAUACCGUAUGUGCCCUUCGGGGGAAAGAUUUAUCGGCAAAGGAUCGGCCCGCGCUGGAUUAGCUAGUUGGUGAGGUAAAGGCUCACCAAGGCGACGAUCCAUAGCUGGUCUGAGAGGAUGAUCAGCCACACUGGGACUGAGACACGGCCCAGACUCCUACGGGAGGCAGCAGUGGGGAAUAUUGGACAAUGGGCGCAAGCCUGAUCCAGCCAUGCCGCGUGAGUGAUGAAGGCCCUAGGGUUGUAAAGCUCUUUCACCGGUGAAGAUAAUGACGGUAACCGGAGAAGAAGCCCCGGCUAAC